RNAcentral lists this long non-coding RNA (2376 nucleotides) under Neodiprion lecontei (redheaded pine sawfly). RNAcentral describes it as "uncharacterized LOC124292823". The record is from RNAcentral. Lineage: Eukaryota; Metazoa; Arthropoda; Insecta; Hymenoptera; Diprionidae.
GAAAAAAAAAAAAAAAAACAAGAGAAAGAAAAAUAGGUCAAAUACUUAAUGAUAAUUGAUGAACAAAUAUUGUACAGAAUCGUACAGAGUUUUGUCGCCACUUUUCUCCCGUCUAUUUUAACGUCUCAAGCGCCAUUCAAUCGAUCGAUAACCUUAUGGUACAGAUCUCAGGGUUAACGAGAAUUACUGCUUAAAAAGCAGAUAAGAGUUGUGAAGGGGGGAAAAAAAUACAAGAAUAAACGACCCCGGAUAAAUUUCUCAAGGAUUGUGAAUUUCGUUCCUUUUUCUUUUACGACAUAGCAUCACUGGGUCCAUUUCGGGUUUAUUAUUUGAUGAGCUGUUAACCAAACCCGACGUCGCAUGGUUCUCAGCGGCCACAGCAAUGAUUUGUUAAUAAUUCAAAUCUACAUAAUUCGCGUACCGGGUAUGAAUUCUUGGUCAUUAUUAGUUCACGUAUGUGUGCGGUUCUUGCUACAGUGCGAUUCGGCCUCGUCCGUCUAAUAGAGUAAUGACAUUUUAUGAAUAGUCUACGAACAUGAAUUGAUUCAUAAUUGGCUAACGACGGUAUCUCUUAAACUGACUGUAACUCCGUACCGGAGUGCAGCCACGCCCUGAUAAUAUUCAAUAUCUAAUAAUCAGAGUAAGAAUAAAGAAAAUGCGUUCAUGUGAACAAUUGAAUUUAGUAUUAACGGAGAAAAACCACGCAAAGGGAUGAAUGUGCAAAUAGUUGAAAGAAAUGAACGGUUGAUGGAAGAAUUCGGAAACAAUGAGAAAGAGUGAACCGCCAAAAGUUGUGCGUAAUUGCUGUUAUUAUUGAUUGUCAAGAGACUAUGGAAAUUUACGGAAAAUGUAUUAAAUAUCUGAAAGCAGCGACGCAAUUACAGGGUUGACGUGACGUCAUCACUCGCAUACACGAGCCGUGCGUUGCGCACGGCACUAAUGUUCAAUUCUACAAUUGCGCGCGUCACUAUUUUGUCCGCGUUACACGAUGCGGAUAUUUUAACGAGCAAUGGUUGGUGCGUAAUAACAUGAAACACUAUUGAAAAUCCCUUUCCAGCCAUCCCGGUACCUUUUUUGAGGACUCGAGCAAAUAAUAAUGCAACGAAUGAAGCGAUAACAGUGCUUUAUCGACGUUAUUCGAGACGAUCGGCUACCGCAACGCAGCUUGUAACAUUGCCUCAUUCCCGGUUGGUGGUGCCGUGUGCAAAAGCCUGAGCCGGCGUUAUUUCUAUAAAGUCGAAUGCGGAGCGAUACGAGCAAAGUUUCGCUUCACGAAUCCGGCCGGAGACAAGCUUGAGGAAAGUGACGUAAGGAGGGAAUAAAACCCGUCGAUAAAAAUGGUCUGGCCAACACUCAAGAGUAAAACACUCGGUCAUCUGGCGGAGAAAAACGAAGACACUACAAAUGCUACCAAAUUAAGAAGUGGGUGUCUGAAGUGUGGAAAUCGGUGCAAGAAAUGCGGCCCUGACUGCAAAUGCACUAUUAGAAGAGUUUACAUUCGGGCACCAAUGUUUAACUACUAUACCGACUUGAUGCACUAAUGAAUUACUCUUCAAAUUCUCCGACAAAACAUCGGUGGAUCAAUUUUACGGAAAAAUUCGUUCCUUCUUCUUCGAAAGAUCUGGAUUUUGUCCAACCGGGGCAAUGAAAUAGUCACAAAAUAAUACGACGCGUUGCUCAAAUUAUCUGGAAAUUUCUGCACAGACUGCGUUAUGGUCGUUAUGUUCAAAUUUUUCCUUAAUUUUAUUUAUUUUAGAAUAUUCUGUCAUUGCGAUGCGCGCGGUUGCUAUACUUUUAGGUUUUAACUUAUUAUUAAUUAAGUAUGAAUGGAGUGGCUGGAGUUACUUACACAAUUCUUGACUUGUAUAAAUAAUUCAACUUAUAAACGGGACCUGGAUCAGUGUACUUCGUUUACUUCAGAUUUUAGAAAUUUAUGGAUUAGUAAUACUCUAGGGUAUUAAGUUCAUCUCAUGCAGGGCUUGAGAUAUUUUGUUCUAACUAUAUAUUAUUUAAUCGUAGAUUGAAUGAGGAAUUAUCUCUUUGUUGAAGGAUAAAAAAAAAUGUGUUUCAAGUGUUUCAAGCGUUUCGAACGAUUACAUCAACAAUUAACCUUUUACAAAGAUAUCAUCAAAUUUCUCUGCCUGUUUUAACUAGAGUACCUAGUAGGCCGAUAAUAUCAACUUUUUUUUACAAAUUUCUGUGUUAAUCAUAUCUAUUGACAACCUGUCGAGGAUGAGCUCUAUAAGUGUUUCAAGUGUUUCUAUUGGUUAGUAGAUCCUCGAUGGUUUCUCAAUACUAUUCACUUAUGUAAUAAACUCUGUAAUACCAAUUGUUGGUCGAAAUAUAAAGUUUUGUAUGUUUUGCUAUAUCAAUAAA